Non-coding RNA from Lupinus albus (white lupine), 218 nucleotides. The record is from the annotation of a GenBank genome assembly. NCBI's taxonomy places the organism in Eukaryota, Viridiplantae, Streptophyta, Magnoliopsida, Fabales, Fabaceae.
AGGUGCAUGUCACACUCACGAGGGAUUGUUGGUAGCCCUUAUGGGAUGGGUCACAAACGUGCUACAAUGACAAUUAUAAUGGGAAGCAAGUUUGUAAGACCGAGCAAAUCCGAAAAGAUUGCCUCAGUUUGGAUUGUUCUCUAUAACUUAGGAACAUGAAGUUGGAAUCGAUAGUAAUUGUGGAUCAGCAUGUCACGGUGAAUAUGUACUCAGGCCCU